GACGAACGCUGGCGGCGUGCUUAACACAUGCAAGUCGAACGGAAAGGCCCUGCUUGCAGGGUACUCGAGUGGCGAACGGGUGAGUAACACGUGGGUGAUCUGCCCUGCACUUCGGGAUAAGCUUGGGAAACUGGGUCUAAUACCGGAUAGGAGCCAUCUUUAGUGUGGUGGUUGGAAAGUUUUUUCGGUGUAGGAUGAGCUCGCGGCCUAUCAGCUUGUUGGUGGGGUAAUGGCCUACCAAGGCGGCGACGGGUAGCCGGCCUGAGAGGGUGUACGGCCACAUUGGGACCGAGAUACGGCCCAGACUCCUACGGGAGGCAGCAGUGGGGAAUAUUGCACAAUGGGCGCAAGCCUGAUGCAGCGACGCCGCGUGGGGGAUGAAGGCCUUCGGGUUGUAAACUCCUUUCGCUAGGGACGAAGCUUUUUUGUGACGGUACCUAGAUAAGAAGCACCGGCUAACUACGUG
RNAcentral lists this ribosomal RNA (466 nucleotides) under uncultured bacterium. Its description in RNAcentral is "partial 16S ribosomal RNA". It matches the Rfam family "Bacterial small subunit ribosomal RNA", at positions 28 to 507 of the family's 1533-position model. The record is from RNAcentral.